Molecule: long non-coding RNA, 735 nt
Organism: Prionailurus viverrinus (fishing cat)
Lineage: Eukaryota; Metazoa; Chordata; Mammalia; Carnivora; Felidae
Exons: 2
Source: RefSeq, a predicted model, not a curated record
UGGGCAGUAGCUCAGCGUUGUGGGUCUCACCACCAGCACCGCAUUCCUUUGCUUACCACUUAAUUUUCACGAAGCACUGCGUCUCUUUCCCUUCCCUGGGACUUGGGGGAACGCAGGCUCCACCACAAAGCCUCAGAAACUUCAGGCCGGGAGGACAAGGCCCACAUGAAGACAGUGAGGCCCAGGAGCACUACAAGCCUGUCGAGCACGUAUUGUCUAUGAAAGGCAACUCACGGGGUUCUCGUGCUGAAGCCCUAAACAGCACUUCCGCACGAACCGAGGGGCUAUUUUAAACAGCAAAAUCACCAACGAGAAGCACAAAAAUGUGAAAGAUGUGCCCCCAGACAGACUUUGGAAAGGACUCUUGUUUACAGGAUGAGAGCUGAAGACAAGAAGGCACAGGGUAGCGUCUUGCUCGGCCCCAGCUGGGAACAUGCACCUCAGACAACCCAAACAUUUUGCUGCUCUGUACGGGCCCGCCAAUAACCACGAGAGUGCGGUGAGUAUUGUUUAGCGACUGCGAAUAAAUUGUCGCGACUACAUACGUUUGCGAAGAGAGAAUCCAGUAAUGACAACUGACUGCACUUUUCAAUGCCACAAUUACACUCCAUCAGGCUGAGAAAUGUCACUUACUCCAUGAGGCCCCUGUGCCUGCACAUUGGAUGUCUCCGGCUUUUCCCGUUACAGACAAUGACACAGGAAAUAGUGUUAACAGAGAUGGUUGCCUUCGUUUAA